AAAAAGAUAAGCUAAACAAGCUACAGGGUUCAUACCCCUUUAAUGAAAAUAUUAAUUUUUCUCUUUUUA
This 69-nucleotide transfer RNA is filed under the name Trapezodirus sp. 1 EF-2015. Its description in RNAcentral is "tRNA-Met". The record is from RNAcentral. Lineage: Eukaryota; Metazoa; Arthropoda; Insecta; Coleoptera; Leiodidae.